RNAcentral lists this ribosomal RNA (418 nucleotides) under Haptophyta environmental samples. Its description in RNAcentral is "SSU rRNA". It matches the Rfam family "Eukaryotic small subunit ribosomal RNA", at positions 452 to 876 of the family's 1831-position model. Lineage: Eukaryota; Haptophyta. The record is from RNAcentral.
UGACACAGGGAGGUAGUGACAAGAAAUAACAAUACAGGGCUCUUCGAGUCUUGUAAUUGGAAUGAGUACAAUUUACAUCUCUUCACGAGGAUCAAUUGGAGGGCAAGUCUGGUGCCAGCAGCCGCGGUAAUUCCAGCUCCAAUAGCGUAUAUUAAAGUUGUUGCAGUUAAAACGCUCGUAGUCGGAUUUCGGGGCGGGGCCGCCGGUCUGCCGAUGGGUAUGCACUGGCGGGCGCGUCCUUCCUCCCGGAGACGGCUGCUACUCUUAACUGAGCGGUGGUCGGAGACGGGAUGUUUACUUUGAAAAAAUCAGAGUGUUUCAAGCAGGCAGUCGCUCUUGCAUGGAUUAGCAUGGGAUAAUGAAAUAGGACUCUGGUGCUAUUUUGUUGGUUUCGAGCACCGGAGUAAUGAUUAACAGG